AAUAAAGUGCCUGAACUAAAGGGUUAUUCUGAUAGAAUAAAUUAUAUAGAAAUUUCUAUCUUUAUUA
RNAcentral lists this transfer RNA (67 nucleotides) under Marasmia exigua. RNAcentral describes it as "Cnaphalocrocis exigua tRNA-Ile". The record is from RNAcentral. Lineage: Eukaryota; Metazoa; Arthropoda; Insecta; Lepidoptera; Crambidae.